Molecule: ribosomal RNA, 253 nt
Filed under: uncultured bacterium
Lineage: Bacteria
Description: partial 16S ribosomal RNA
Rfam family: Bacterial small subunit ribosomal RNA
Source: RNAcentral
UACGUAGGGUGCAAGCGUUGUUCGGAAUCAUUGGGCGUAAAGCGCGUGUAGGCGGUUAAUUAAGUCGAUUGUGAAAUCCCUGGGCUCAACCGAGGAAGUGCACCCGAAACUGAGUAGCUAGAGUACGAAAGAGGGUCGCGGAAUUCCCGGUGUAGAGGUGAAAUUCGUAGAUAUCGGGAGGAACACCGGUGGCGAAGGCGGCGACCUGGGUCGAGACUGACGCUGAGGCGCGAAAGCGUGGGGAGCAAACAGG